CUUAAAUCCAUCGAGCUAGUUCUGAAUUCAUUCUCACUCAUCGACCAAUUUCAACUGUUGUACUGCUUGGCUAUGGAAAGGUAAUCCGUGCACAAGACAGGCAUUAAAAGGAUAUAAAUGUGGACACAGCACAAGGCCCUGCUUCCAAACACAGUCAUAUUCUGACGUGCUGGGGUUUAGACUAUAACAUAUGAAUUUGAGAGGACACAAUUUGGCUGAUGACAGCAUGCAUGGCUUCGAAGUCCUACUUCAGAGGAUCUCCAGGCUGCUUAAAGACAUAUAAGAAACACGGACUGAUUCUCAAAGCCAUAAACAAGAAUUCUAUCAAUUCUCCUUACGUUGUGGUAAAAUUCUUACCUUUUCUUUUUUCCUUUCUUUUCUCUUAUACCUGGCUGCUACCUCAUUGAUUCCCUUUUACUCUAGUGAUAGCUGUCUCUAUUUUCUGAGUUCAAGUUCCUGAUCUGACUUUGGAAAUGUACCACAAUGACUACCACAUCUUUUAAUUAAUCAAAAUACCUCCUUCUCCAAUUGUUCUUAAAAAAAACUCUGCAAUUUGGACAUGGUCCUUAUCUAUUAGAUACUAAACUUGAUCCUGAGAUUAAUGCCAUAUUCUAAGAUUCCUGAAAACUGGAGUUUAUGGAGCUGGUUCUAAGAUCAACUGAGGAUAUAAUUUGGAAGGACACAUGAAUUUUUUUCUUGGUAUGUUACUCUUCUCCAAUAAACAUGUAGAGGUAAGUGCUUGAGAAAUAAAGCAAGAACUAAUACAUCUUAUACUUUAAUCUGAUAUAUUCAUACUAUGGGGAUUGGAAUUGGCCACCCCAAGAUAUGUCUCUUUGGCAUGAGGAUUAUUUGAG
RNAcentral lists this long non-coding RNA (854 nucleotides) under Equus caballus (horse). Its description in RNAcentral is "lncRNA (ENSECAG00000052489.1)". The record is from RNAcentral. Lineage: Eukaryota; Metazoa; Chordata; Mammalia; Perissodactyla; Equidae.